GUUACGUGAGGUGCACAUUAUUCAAAACAUUGAAUCACAUCGAACUGUGGAAUGUUGUGAAUAGUGUCACAGACGUAAU
RNAcentral lists this microRNA precursor (79 nucleotides) under Schmidtea mediterranea. RNAcentral describes it as "microRNA sme-mir-1c precursor". Its record names the gene sme-mir-1c. Lineage: Eukaryota; Metazoa; Platyhelminthes; Tricladida; Dugesiidae. The record is from miRBase by way of RNAcentral.